AUGUUUAAUUGCCACAUCAACGUCGAGGUCUCCUCUAGCAUAAAGGCUGUAAAAUACAUUUAUAAGUACAUCUAUAAGGGUCAUGAUAAGGCUUCUUUCAGCAUCGACCAGCCAGACGUUGAUGGAAACAUUGAUGAGAUUAAGAGAUACGUUGACGCAAGAUGCCUCUUCAUUCCUCCGGAGGCUAUGUGGAGGAUAUUUGGUUUCCCACUAUGUGCCAAUUAUCCGCCUGUCUUGCAGUUGCCUCUUCAUAUCUCGAAUAUGCACAGGGUUGCAUUCAAUGCACAAGCUGACUUGAAGAAUGUUGUAUCCUUCGAGAAUGCUUCAAAAUCCAUGUUAAUAGAGUAUUUCAAGGCAAACGAAAAACACCCUUGGGCAAGGCAUAUAUUGUACAAGGAUUUCCCCGGAAGCUUCACGUGGGAGAAGAGAAAGAAAUUUUGGAAGAUGCGGGUGGAGCAUUUUCAAAUAGGUCGUAUCGUGUCUGCCAAUCCUGCCGAGGGGGAGCGAUACUACCUUCGUGUGUUGUUGAACCAUGUUCCGGGGGAAACAGGAUUUGAGGACUUGCUCACCGUCGACAGCGUGGUAUGUGAGAGCUUUAGAGAGGCCGGUGAAAGGUUGGGACUCAUCGAGGCAGACAACACGCUCGACGACUGUCUUACUGAGGCGGAGCAGUGGGCUAUGCCAUGCUCUCUUAGGAGGCUCUUUGCAACAAUCUUGGUGCACUGCGAGCCAGGCAAUGUGCACGGUUUAUGGGAUAGACACCUUGAUCCUAUGUCUGAUGACUACCGUCGGACAUGCACGUCUCAGAACGAGGUGUAG
Molecule: ribosomal RNA, 819 nt
Filed under: Triticum aestivum (bread wheat)
Lineage: Eukaryota; Viridiplantae; Streptophyta; Magnoliopsida; Poales; Poaceae
Description: partial small subunit ribosomal RNA
Source: RNAcentral